This 329-nucleotide ribosomal RNA is filed under the name uncultured eukaryote. Its description in RNAcentral is "partial 18S ribosomal RNA". It matches the Rfam family "Eukaryotic small subunit ribosomal RNA", at positions 1470 to 1796 of the family's 1831-position model. The record is from RNAcentral.
CCCUUAGAUGUUCUGGGCCGCACGCGCGCUACACUGAUACAAGCAGCAAGUCGUUUCCUGGGCCGAAAGGUCUGGGUAAUCUUGUGAAAUUGUAUCGUGAUAGGGCUUGACGAUUGUAAUUAUUUGUCACAAACGAGGAAUUCCUAGUAAGCGCAAGUCAUCAACUUGCACUGAUUACGUCCCUGCCCUUUGUACACACCGCCCGUCGCUCCUACCGAUUGAAUGUUAAGGCGAACACUCUGGAAUCGUGGCCUUGAUUGGGCAACCUUUCUUGACCAAUGAUGAAGUUGUGUAAGCCUUGACAUUUAGAGGAAGGAAAANUCGUANCA